RNAcentral lists this ribosomal RNA (2916 nucleotides) under Vibrio parahaemolyticus. RNAcentral's name for it is "bacterial LSU rRNA". It matches the Rfam family "Bacterial large subunit ribosomal RNA". The record is from RNAcentral. Lineage: Bacteria; Pseudomonadati; Pseudomonadota; Gammaproteobacteria; Vibrionales; Vibrionaceae.
GUUGUAUGGUUAAGUGACUAAGCGUACACGGUGGAUGCCUUGGCAGUCAGAGGCGAUGAAAGACGUAGUAACUUGCGAUAAGCCCAGAUUAGGUAGUAACAACCAUUUGAGUCUGGGAUUUCUGAAUGGGGAAACCCACGUGCAUAAGCACGUAUCCUUACCUGAAUACAUAGGGUAAGGAGGCGAACCGGGGGAACUGAAACAUCUAAGUACCCCGAGGAAAAGAAAUCAACCGAGAUUCCGAAAGUAGCGGCGAGCGAAAUUGGACUAGCCCUUAAGCUUUACACGCGUUAGACGAACGGUCUGGAAAGUCCGACGAUACAGGGUGAUAGUCCCGUAGUUGACGACGUGUGUUCAGUGAAAUCGAGUAGGGCGGGACACGUGAUAUCCUGUCUGAAUAUGGGGGGACCAUCCUCCAAGGCUAAAUACUACUGACUGACCGAUAGUGAACCAGUACCGUGAGGGAAAGGCGAAAAGAACCCCUGUGAGGGGAGUGAAAUAGAACCUGAAACCGUGUACGUACAAGCAGUAGGAGCAGGCUUUGUCCUGUGACUGCGUACCUUUUGUAUAAUGGGUCAGCGACUUAUAUUCAGUGGCAAGGUUAACCAUCUAGGGGAGCCGUAGGGAAACCGAGUCUUAACUGGGCGUUCAGUCUCUGGAUAUAGACCCGAAACCAGGUGAUCUAGCCAUGGGCAGGUUGAAGGUUGAGUAACAUCAACUGGAGGACCGAACCGACUAAUGUUGAAAAAUUAGCGGAUGACUUGUGGCUAGGGGUGAAAGGCCAAUCAAACCUGGAGAUAGCUGGUUCUCCCCGAAAGCUAUUUAGGUAGCGCCUCGGACGAAUACUACUGGGGGUAGAGCACUGUUAAGGCUAGGGGGUCAUCCCGACUUACCAACCCUUUGCAAACUCCGAAUACCAGUAAGUACUAUCCGGGAGACACACGGCGGGUGCUAACGUCCGUCGUGGAGAGGGAAACAACCCAGACCGCCAGCUAAGGUCCCAAAUUACUACUAAGUGGGAAACGAUGUGGGAAGGCUCAGACAGCCAGGAUGUUGGCUUAGAAGCAGCCAUCAUUUAAAGAAAGCGUAAUAGCUCACUGGUCGAGUCGGCCUGCGCGGAAGAUGUAACGGGGCUAAGUAGUAAACCGAAGCUGCGGCAAUAUACUUUUGUAUAUUGGGUAGGGGAGCGUUCUGUAAGCGGUUGAAGGUGUGUGGUAACGCAUGCUGGACGUAUCAGAAGUGCGAAUGCUGACAUGAGUAACGAUAAAGGGGGUGAAAAACCUCCUCGCCGGAAGACCAAGGGUUCCUGUCCAACGUUAAUCGGGGCAGGGUAAGUCGACCCCUAAGGCGAGGCCGAAAGGCGUAGUCGAUGGGAAACGGGUUAAUAUUCCCGUACUUCUUACAAUUGCGAUGGGGGGACGGAGAAGGCUAGGUGGGCCUGGCGACGGUUGUCCAGGUUCAAGUGCGUAGGCUUAAGAGUUAGGUAAAUCCGGCUCUUUUUAAGGCUGAGACACGACGUCGAGCACCUACGGGUGUGAAGUCAUUGAUGCCAUGCUUCCAGGAAAAGCCUCUAAGCUUCAGAUUGUAAGGAAUCGUACCCCAAACCGACACAGGUGGUCGGGUAGAGAAUACCAAGGCGCUUGAGAGAACUCGGGUGAAGGAACUAGGCAAAAUGGUACCGUAACUUCGGGAGAAGGUACGCUCUUGAUGGUGAAGUCCCUUGCGGAUGGAGCUGACGAGAGUCGCAGAUACCAGGUGGCUGCAACUGUUUAUUAAAAACACAGCACUGUGCAAAAUCGUAAGAUGACGUAUACGGUGUGACGCCUGCCCGGUGCCGGAAGGUUAAUUGAUGGGGUUAGACUUCGGUCGAAGCUCUUGAUCGAAGCCCCGGUAAACGGCGGCCGUAACUAUAACGGUCCUAAGGUAGCGAAAUUCCUUGUCGGGUAAGUUCCGACCUGCACGAAUGGCGUAAUGAUGGCCACGCUGUCUCCACCCGAGACUCAGUGAAAUUGAAAUCGCUGUGAAGAUGCAGUGUACCCGCGGCUAGACGGAAAGACCCCGUGAACCUUUACUACAGCUUGGCACUGAACAUUGACCCUACAUGUGUAGGAUAGGUGGGAGGCUUUGAAGCACGUACGCCAGUAUGUGUGGAGCCGUCCUUGAAAUACCACCCUUGUAGUGUUGAUGUUCUAACGUCGACCCCUAAUCGGGGUUGCGGACAGUGCCUGGUGGGUAGUUUGACUGGGGCGGUCUCCUCCCAAAGAGUAACGGAGGAGCACGAAGGUGGGCUAAUCACGGUUGGACAUCGUGAGGUUAGUGCAAUGGCAUAAGCCCGCUUGACUGCGAGAAUGACAAUUCGAGCAGGUGCGAAAGCAGGUCAUAGUGAUCCGGUGGUUCUGAAUGGAAGGGCCAUCGCUCAACGGAUAAAAGGUACUCCGGGGAUAACAGGCUGAUACCGCCCAAGAGUUCAUAUCGACGGCGGUGUUUGGCACCUCGAUGUCGGCUCAUCACAUCCUGGGGCUGAAGUCGGUCCCAAGGGUAUGGCUGUUCGCCAUUUAAAGUGGUACGCGAGCUGGGUUUAGAACGUCGUGAGACAGUUCGGUCCCUAUCUGCCGUGGGCGUUGGAAGAUUGAAGGGGGCUGCUCCUAGUACGAGAGGACCGGAGUGGACGAACCUCUGGUGUUCGGGUUGUGUCGCCAGACGCAUUGCCCGGUAGCUAAGUUCGGAAUCGAUAACCGCUGAAAGCAUCUAAGCGGGAAGCGAGCCCUGAGAUGAGUCUUCCCUGAUACUUUAAGUAUCCUAAAGGGUUGUCGGAGACUACGACGUUGAUAGGUCAGGUGUGUAAGUGCUGUGAGGCAUUGAGCUAACUGAUACUAAUUGCCCGUGAGGCUUAACCAUACAACACCCAAGGGGUUU